GAUGAAGAACGCAGCGAAAUGGGAUAAGUAAUGUGAAUUGCAGAAUUCAGUGAAUCAUCGAAUCUUUGAACGCAUCUUGCGCUCCUUGGUAUUCCUUGGAGCAUGCCUGUUUGAGUAUCAUGAGCAAAUCUCAAAGUCAAUUCCUUUUGUUAAUUCAAUUGGUUUUGCUUUGGACUUGGAGGUCUUGCAGAUUUUCACAGUCUGCUCCUCUUAAAUGCAUUAGCUGGAUCUCAGUAAUUAUGCUUGGUUCCACUCGGCGUGAUAAGUAUCACUCGCUGAGGACACUGUUAAAAAGGUGGCCAGGAAAAUACUGAUUGAACCGCUUCUAACGGUCUAUUAAGUUAGACAAUUACCCUUAAGUUUGAUCUCAAAUCAGGUAGGACUACCCGCUGAACUUAAGCAUAUCAAUAAGCGGAGGA
RNAcentral lists this unclassified non-coding RNA (419 nucleotides) under soil metagenome. RNAcentral describes it as "partial contains 5.8S ribosomal RNA, internal transcribed spacer 2, and large subunit ribosomal RNA". The stretch from base 1 to 120 matches the Rfam family "5.8S ribosomal RNA", at positions 35 to 154 of the family's 154-position model. The record is from RNAcentral.